This 211-nucleotide long non-coding RNA is filed under the name Mytilus galloprovincialis (Mediterranean mussel). The record is from RNAcentral. Lineage: Eukaryota; Metazoa; Mollusca; Bivalvia; Mytilida; Mytilidae.
AUCUUAUUUGAAGAAAAAAAAUAUUCAUAGUAAUGUGAUGGACUUCAUUGAUACCAAACAUAUUGCAAAAGUAGAAUGGUAACAACAUACAUCAAUUACUAUAAGAUUACACAAACAGAAAGUAUUAUAAAACACUGACUUUUUGAUCAAAUGCGGGACAUGCACGAUAAAUUAAAAGCACCGACACGAAACACGGAAAAUAAAUAAGGGG